This 3760-nucleotide long non-coding RNA is filed under the name Ricinus communis (castor bean). RNAcentral's name for it is "long non-coding RNA (RCOM_LNC001470)". The record is from RNAcentral. Lineage: Eukaryota; Viridiplantae; Streptophyta; Magnoliopsida; Malpighiales; Euphorbiaceae.
UUUUCUUAAGAAAGGAGAGGAUGAAUAUAAAACGGAAUGUUUAUUUUAAAUUACCUUGCAAGCUAUAUAUCCAAGGGAAUGCGGAACCCAACCUAGAGCAAUAAUAAAAGAAAAAAAAAUGAGAAAAUAAAAGCAUGCAGUAUUGCGGCGAACAUAUUCUGUAACUUAUAGAGUUAUUAUGCUGAUGAUUCACUUGUAAAUCACAACUUGAUAACAAAGGCAAUGAUAUUUCAGUUGCUUGUGACAAUUAAGGGACUGAAAGAACAAAUGUUCUACAAAUAUUAUAGAACAAUUAAUAAAAUGGAGAAACUACCAACCUCAUCAAUAAAAGGUAAUGAAGCAAAGCAUGCAAAGAGUUACCAUAGCAAUACAUUAAAAAAGCAUAUAAGAGAGGAAGAAAUAUCAUAUAAGGCUAAAAAUGAAUGAAAUGAAACAACCACAAAUCUUUACAAGCAAAUCUUGAUUUGUUUGCUAUAACAUAAUUUGGAAAAUAUAUUUCAGCAACGAGAAACAUUUUGGAAACAAAAAAAAAAAAGAAAAGAACCCUGAAAGCAAGCAAGCACCCAUUCUAAACUUUUGGCCCCAUUCUUUUUAGUUUACUGAACAUAAAAAUUAAGCAUUAAAUGUUAAAAAACACAUGAAGAAAAAUUGCUUUAAAUUAAAAGCAAGGCUGGGACCUUUUUUUCGGGACGUAAUGAAAAAAGCUCCAGUUAAUAUUAAUUAAUAUAUAUAGGAGAAGAAGAAAAUCUAAAAGAUAUAAGCCAUCUAACUGAUUUUUAAGAAACAGAAUAAAAGAUUAAUAGUCAAAAUGAAUAAAUAGUGCUUUGCAAUUUUAUAUACAGCUAAAUAGUUAAAUUAAUAUGUACAAUUUCUCAACUUUUUUAAAAAAAUUAUUAGACGGAACUGAUGACAGAUUUUAUAAUGAAAACCAGGCAAAAUAAUGCUCAGACAUACUGGCAUAAUUAAAUAAUGAUAAAUCUUAAAAUAAAAAGGCCAAAAACCACACACCAAGGAAGGCAUCAAGGUGCCCAGAUAAAUAAUCUAACCAUAUAUCAAAGAAACCACUUAAUAGGAAAAUAUGAAAUCAUAUAAUGUUUGGAAAAUACAUAAAUAUAAAUAAACAAAGGUUUAAAGAAGCCAGCACCUUUGUUUCAGUGCCCGAAUUCUAAAAAUAUAAGCUGCCAAAGAGGCAUUGUAAAAAAAUAAAGUUUUAAAAGCAAACAAAAUUCAUCUCUUAACAGUUAAUUUUACUUCUUUUUAUCAGGGAAUCUAAAAAUCAAAUAGAAAAUGGUCAAGAGAUAAAGGAUUAAAAAAAUAUCUCUAAAUUUAAGUAACUCCAAAGGUUCAAAAGCAAAUUACGUCCUUACUUUGGCAGCCUAAUAAAAAAAUCCAUCCAACAAUAGCAGAUCGCAAAAUUAACUGCAAACAAGAUGCUCAUAUUUAAAAAAAAUACAAAUACUUGAACAAAUUUAAAUAGAUUAAUAAUCAAAUAUAAAUCUUUUUCAUGUGAUUUGAUCUUCAAUAACUAAAAUUAAAGGAAUCCUCAAGAGCAAACACCAAAGCUGCGGAAAAGAUUUAAAGAAAAAAAAUGAAUGGAAAAUAUACCAACCUCAAAUAAUAGACACCGCUGGAAAAAAGAGAAAUAUAUUUAAACAAGUACAAAUGUUUAUGAGAGCUUAAAUGUUCAGAUAUAUCAGUCAUAAUCAUCGAUAGGAUAGAAAGUUUUACAUGCAAUAAAUAUCUCUCCAAUGAAUUCCACAAACCAACCAGGCAGCCUAGAGAUUAUAACCUUUUUCUUAAAAAACAAGAAGACAAAUCCAUCAACCAAACAAACACAAAUGAGAGAGCAAAAAGUAUGCAGAUAUUACCAUGCAAAAAGCCAGUAGAAAUAACAAUGAAUUCUAGAAUUAGAUCUUCAAUAACUGAAAUAAAAGGAGUUCAUGUAAUGCUUUCUACGACUGUAAUAAGGGGUAACCAGGAGAAGAAAAAGCCAAAAAAGUUAGCUGUAAGAAGCACAAAUGUUUAAAAUUUAAAUCUGCAAUAAUUUUGGUGUAAGAAAAUACCAUGAAAACCUACUACCGGAAAUAAAGUCCAUCUACAAUAAGAGAUGUGUUUUACAGAGAGAAGAACAAUAAGAUAUUGGGUUUGUCAGAGCGAAAAAUGAUAAACUGAUACGUGUUGUGAGGGGGAAGAAGCAUUGUAAACAAAAACAGUAGGAAGAGUGUGAGAAGAAGAGACUAGGGAUGGCAACGGGUAGGAUACCCGCACAUUUACCAAUAUCUGACACCGAACCUUAUUAAAUAAUAUAUAUAUCUGAACCCAUCCCAAACCCGUUUAAGAAAUUGUUCUUGUUACCCGAGCCUGUCCCAAAUUCGAAUAGGAAUAUCCACGCAUACUAUCUGAAUCCGAUUAAAACCCGUUUAAAUUAAAUUAUUAUUAAAUAAAUUUUAUAAAUAUUUAAAUGGUAACGGGUACCCUAUCCAUUAAAAAUCCAUUUAUAUGAAUAUUCAGGUAAUUAAAUGGGUACCGUUUAUAAUAAUUCAAUUCUAAAAUAUAUUAACAAAAAAUAAUGAAAAUAAAAGAACUACAAAAUAUAAACUAAUUAAAUCUAAGUAUCUAACAUUAAAUGUUUAAUAUAUUAAUACAACCAAACUUAAAUUAAUGUUCUAGAUAAUAAAAAGCCAAUUAAGAUACAAUAUCUAUUACAAUUUGUACAUCUUCCAACUCCAUAUUUAAGAGUUUUUAUCUACCAUCUUUGAGAAGAAAAAGAAAAUACAAUUAGCCUAUUCAUUACUUCAGAAAGCUUGAAAAUAUGUACAACUAUCUACACAUUCAAAAAUAUUAUGGUAUUUGACAUGUUACAACCUUAAAAAAAAUUACAAUCAACAAAUUAUAGUUAAGGAGAAAUUACUUAUAGAAAAAUAAAGCAGAAAAUAGCAUACUAUCCAGCCAAGUUGUACUCUGUUUCUCAUUACAACACCCAAAGAUUGAAAUAAACCUUCCUACGAAAUGUCAUUUCAAUGAGUCAUUUUGUGAAUCUAUCCAAAACCAAGACAGCAUGGCCCUAAGCUCAAACCACGAUUGAUCCCAUGCAGUUCAUUGAGUCACUAAGCAAGUGGCAGAAAGAGCAAUUUUUGACAUCAUAAAACUUAGAAAGGAUAAGUAUAUUCCCCAAGAAGAAUACAGUUGGGGGGAAUUCUGAAACACUCAGACUAAAAGAGGUAAAUUCAAAAGUUACAUUUGUGUGAAGAUAAUACAAAAAAGACUUAAAACCAUUUAAGAAAACUUCCUAAAAGGAGAUGAUGCUGAGGACUAUAGAUUUUCCGAAAUUAAGAAAACAAUAAUGCAAAUAGUACCCUUUAUGGUGCGUAGAGCAGCGGCUGAGAAACGGCAGCAGCAACAAUGAUGUCAAAAAGGGUGGAGCGACUGCAGCUAGGGCGACGACGGCUGCAGCAAGGGCGACGGCAAUGGCAGCGGCGGCGACGGCAAUGGCAGCGGCGGCGACGGCAAUGGCAGCGGCGGCGACUGCAGUAACGGCGGCGGCAACAGCAGCGAGGGGGAAACAACAACGUUGGCGAUGAGAUGAGAAUAGACGGCGACGGCAGCAAGGUUGGCGAUGGGAUGAGGGUUUGUAAGGGUGGUGGAGGCUUGAGUUGAGAGGGUUUAUGCGAGUUUGAGGGUUUAUGUGAGUUUGAAAUGAUAUGAGAAUUAGGGUUUACUUUUACGAUAUGUUUAUUUAGUUUGGUUAUAUGAAAAUUUC